RNAcentral lists this ribosomal RNA (468 nucleotides) under uncultured bacterium. Its description in RNAcentral is "partial 16S ribosomal RNA". It matches the Rfam family "Bacterial small subunit ribosomal RNA", at positions 28 to 507 of the family's 1533-position model. The record is from RNAcentral.
GACGAACGCUGGCGGCGUGCUUAACACAUGCAAGUCGAACGGAAAGGCCCUGCUUUUGUGGGGUGCUCGAGUGGCGAACGGGUGAGUAACACGUGAGUAACCUGCCCUUGACUUUGGGAUAACUUCAGGAAACUGGGGCUAAUACAGGAUAGGAGCUUCUGCUGCAUGGUGGGGGUUGGAAAGUUUCGGCGGUUGGGGAUGGACUCGCGGCUUAUCAGCUUGUUGGUGGGGUAGUGGCUUACCAAGGCUUUGAAGGGUAGCCGGCCUGAGAGGGUGACCGGCCACAUUGGGACUGAGAUACGGCCCAGACUCCUACGGGAGGCAGCAGUGGGGAAUAUUGCACAGUGGGCGGAAGCCUGAUGCAGCAACGCCGCGUGCGGGAUGACGGCCUUCGGGUUGUAAACCGCUUUCGCCUGUGACGAAGCGUGAGUGACGGUAAUGGGUAAAGAAGCACCGGCUAACUACGUG